UCGUGCUCUACGCAAAACCAUUUGCUUAUGCUCCCAAGACUCCUUAUGAGGAAUGUGAGAAGCCCAAGCCAACUCCUGCUCCUUACCACUACAUAUCUCCUCCGCCACCAACUUAUGUCUAUAAAUCACCACCACCUCCACCACCAACUUACCUAUACAAGUCACCGCCACCACCAGUGAAACCUCCACCAAAGCCGUAUUAUUACGUCUCCCCACCACCACCAACUUAUGUCUAUAAAUCACCACCACCUCCACCACCAACUUACCUAUACAAGUCACCGCCACCACCGGUGAAACCUCCGCCAAAGCCGUAUCAUUACGUCUCCCCACCACCACCUACUGUAUCUCCACCGCAUUAUUACUACACAUCACCACCACCACCGGUGAAACCUCCGCCAAAGCCGUAUCAUUACAUCUCCCCACCACCACCGGAGAAAUCUCCACCACCACCCUAUCCUUACAUCUCCCCGCCACCGCCGGAGAAAUCUCCACCACCACC
RNAcentral lists this long non-coding RNA (499 nucleotides) under Coffea arabica (coffee). RNAcentral describes it as "long non-coding RNA (CARA_LNC002214)". The record is from RNAcentral. Lineage: Eukaryota; Viridiplantae; Streptophyta; Magnoliopsida; Gentianales; Rubiaceae.